This is a long non-coding RNA of Symphalangus syndactylus (siamang), 471 nucleotides long. RefSeq lists it as uncharacterized. The record is from RefSeq and is a predicted model, not a curated record. NCBI's taxonomy places the organism in Eukaryota, Metazoa, Chordata, Mammalia, Primates, Hylobatidae.
UCCCUGCUCUAGAGAAGCUCACAGUUUAACAGGGAGACAGACAUGCAAACAAAUAUCUCUGUUAAGUUUUGUAAUUAUAGUGCGUACAAAGGUUACAGGAAGACAGAAGAAGGAGAAAAUAGUCAAUGUAUUUAAUCAUCCCAGCAACCCUGGGAGACAGGAAUUGUUGGCUCAUUUUCACAGAUGAGGAAACUGAGCUAAAACUCCUCAUGAAAUCUACAUGGAUGGAUGACAUGCAGGAAGAAACAUAAGCCAUUUCUACUCAGAGUUCACCAUAUCACUAAGAAUGAUCAGAAUGAUAGUGAAGCACUGGAAAACUCCUAAACAUGAGAAAAAGAAGAUAAUUUAGAGUUUGUUUAUCAGAGCAUCCAGGUCUUAACGACCAUCUCCCCCGGCCCUCCUCAACAGAAGUAACUGAAGCAAGGCGCCUAUGAACUCUGCCUCCCUGGCUCAGAAGCCAGUGCUGACCAG